Molecule: long non-coding RNA, 1609 nt
Organism: Silurus meridionalis
Lineage: Eukaryota; Metazoa; Chordata; Actinopteri; Siluriformes; Siluridae
Exons: 2
Source: RefSeq, a predicted model, not a curated record
UGUCAGGAGGCAUAUAUAUGAUACACAACCCCUUAUGAAGUUCUGGAUAAGUUGCCAGACAGAAUUUCCAGAGCUUACAGUAAAAGCAUUGAGGUGUCUUUUACCCUUUCCAACUACAUACCUUUGUGAGAGCGGUUUUUCUACACUGGCAUAUCUAAAGAACAAGUACAGGGCAAGGCUACAACCAGAGAAUGAUAUAAGGCUGUCAAUAUGUACCACUAUAUCACCACGAAUAGACAGACUGUGUGGAAGUCACUACUUGUUAGUCAGAAUGGUGGUCCCUGGCACAGAACCAGUUGAAAACCUCAGUCCUAGUUUAAGUGAAGGGGCAUUUUCAUGCUCCUGCAUCCACAGAAAUCCAAUACUGUAAUAUUGUCUCCAACUUUGUGCUGACAGUAGAACAGCUAUCUGACUGCGUACCUGAACAUGUACACCUGUAGGUAGGGUGCGAAGCGAUAUGGGUCAUGUACAGAUCAUGGAUCAUGCUGGAGCUUUUUCACCUGCAAAGCUGAUCAUUUGGAUCAGGAAGUCCGUCUGUCUCCCUGUCUCAGAAAAUCCUGCUGCUGAAUAAAACAGUUCACAUAUGAAGUGUAAACUAAUCAGGAUUUAUUCUCACAAAAUAUAAACUAUUUAACUGCCUUAAUUAGAUUACUGUCUUUGGGGUUCAAUUCCUACUCUUCGUUUUCUUCUAGAACAGAAAUCAAAGCAGUGAAGUUGAACAGCAGUAGAGGACAAUUUAAAGAACUAUGAACUGAUUGUAUUCCACAAAAGUACCAGUACUCUAAACCAUGUAGAGAACCACAGCUCAGUGUUUAUCAUUUUGCACCUGAGGGUUAAUGUUUCAAAACACACACACACACACACACACAGUGAAGUAUGAAACAGAAAGAUUAUUUAAACUCUAAUAAACAUCAUCAGUGACACACAGAAAAAGUGAACAAUCUCCUGAACACAUCACCUGUGCCAAGUUCAACCGAUUACAUGGUCAAAUCUGUGGUUGUGUUUGUGCUGCUGCCUUACCUAAAAAGGUCAACCUGAGACAUCACACACUCACACACACUAAAUACAUUUAAACAAACUCAGAGGAAUCACAUCCUUAUGCACUAAUAUAGCUUUUCUCUCUCUUACACACACACACACACACACACAAAAUAAUUGGACAGAAUUAUUCUGAAAGCGCAGUAUUUAUUCAUUUACAGUCUAAUAUGACACAAAGAGGUGAGGGUAAUAAAGUGAAAUGCUGAUGGAAGUGUAACUAUAAAUACAGAUAUAAACUGGUCACCCUGUUGGGUAGUGAAUUAACACGUGCACACACUGGACUCCAAUCUAUAAAACCCAACACUACAGGAGGCUCUUAUUGUGUUUGAGCUCUACUGCAGUGUUUAUUUUCACUCAAGAGUGGAAGUAUAAGGGGCAGAGGAGAAAGUCUUCAGUGAAAGGAAGUACUUUUCUAAUUCUGUCUCUCUGAAGGUGUAGGGAAACCACAGAACUUUCAGGGGACUGCAGAGUAACCCAAACUACUGUUAACCGUAUUGCUGCAGUGUGUGUGUGUGUGUGUGUGUGUGUGUGUGUGUGUGUGUGUGUGUGUGUGUGUGUGUGUGUGUGUGUG